GGAGGGUGCGAGCGUUGUCCGGAUUUAUUGGGUUUAAAGGGUGCGUAGGUGGCUGUUUAAGUCAGUGGUGAAAUACGGUUGCUCAACAAUCGAGGUGCCAUUGAUACUGAAUAGCUUGAAAUAAUUGGAGGCUGCCGGAAUGGAUGGUGUAGCGGUGAAAUGCAUAGAUAUCAUCCAGAACACCGAUUGCGAAGGCAAGUGGCUACGAUUUAUUUGACACUGAGGCACGAAAGCAUGGGGAGCAAACAGGAUUAGAUACCCUGGUAGUCCAUGCCGUAAACGAUGAGGACUCGCUGUUGGUGUUCAUGCAUCAGCGGCUUAGGGAAACCGUUAAGUCCUCCACCUGGGGAGUACGCCGGCAACGGUG
RNAcentral lists this ribosomal RNA (367 nucleotides) under uncultured bacterium. RNAcentral describes it as "bacterial SSU rRNA". It matches the Rfam family "Bacterial small subunit ribosomal RNA", at positions 527 to 896 of the family's 1533-position model. The record is from RNAcentral.